GCCCGCUCGCACCGGCUCUGCUGCCCGGCCCGCGCCGCCCCCCCGCGCUCACAGCCGGGCUCUCCGCCGCACCGGGGCGGAGCCGCCCACACGCCGUUCCUGAGCCUGCAGCGACACCGUGCGCUGCUCCGCCGCCUCACACGCUCCGACACCGCGCCUCUGACUCCGCUCCCUCAUGGUCGUCUCCUGUGCCAUCUCUUCCUCUGUCCGCUUCUUAUUUUUCAUAUUUCCUUUUCUUUAUCUCUUGCUAUUUGCUUGCAUAGACUUUCCGUCCUUUCUUCUUCCAUUAUUUCUCUCGUUUUCAUUGGUUUGCAUUUCCCUUCUCUUUCCUACUCUUUCCAUUAUAGUCUUCCUAUUCUUUUCUAUUCUUAUGUCUCCUCUUCGCUAUCCUUUUCAUUUUUUGGCCUGCCCUAAUCUUUAAGCCAUCUUCACUUCCUUUCUAAUCUUCGCUCUUCUUCACCCCCCUGGCAAUUCGCCCGUUCCCUCCUGCGACGCGUCAGGCCAUCAUUGUUGGAGUUAUCAGCGCUAAUUAUGUUAUAUCUGCAGUAAUUUUAGUAUAUCAGCGUAGGGGCGCGGUGAAGCAACCGGGGGAACGGAUCCAUCUCUGCUCUAAACAUAAGGUCGGUUGUUGCUUUAUCUUCCUUCUUUUUUGUGCCGUUCUCUUCCUUCUUUACUUCCUUGUUCCCUUUCUCUCUUGCUUUUUACUUGUAUAGUCACCUUCCUUGAUAGAUCCUUUUCUCCUUCAUUAUCUUUUGCUAUUAUUUAUCUUUUUUUCUUUAUUUCCCUUCUAUUUCGUAAUUCUUUUUUCUUUAUAUCUUCUUCAUGCUCCUCACUGUUAUAUUUUUUACAUCUUCCUUCUCAUUUUCUUUCCUUAUCUCUUAUGUGCUUCUAUUUCCUUUACUAAUAUUCCUUCCAAAUGUUCAGAUAAUAUUCUCCAUGAACAUAUCUUUCGGAAAAUGUUCUCGUUCCUCUUCCUUGCAAUCAUUGCCUCCAUUGCUUCUUUUAUUCCAUUUCUUCUUUGUAUUUUUUCUUUUCUUGUUUUAUUUUUUUUUCCCUUUGCUUUUUCUUUUCACGUUGUGCAGUCAUUUCCCUCCACUUGUCAGUUGCUUCCUUACUUGUAUCAACUAUUGGGGGUUUUUUUUCCCAUUUAAGGAAAUAUUUUUCAAACAGCUACACCACAAAGUCAUGAAGCACAGACAUUCCCUUUAG
Molecule: long non-coding RNA, 1209 nt
Filed under: Lonchura striata (white-rumped munia)
Lineage: Eukaryota; Metazoa; Chordata; Aves; Passeriformes; Estrildidae
Description: domestica (Bengalese finch) lncRNA (ENSLSDG00000015034.1)
Source: RNAcentral